Molecule: long non-coding RNA, 410 nt
Organism: Boleophthalmus pectinirostris (great blue-spotted mudskipper)
Lineage: Eukaryota; Metazoa; Chordata; Actinopteri; Gobiiformes; Gobiidae
Exons: 3
Source: RefSeq, a predicted model, not a curated record
AUUGUCACUCUGUUGAUUGAACUCAUGAUGGACGAACCGAAGUUGUUUACAUAGACUACAUCCCUUAUAAAUUUACUGAAAAUAUCCUUUUCCAACGUGCAUCGUCUCAUUGAUCAACAUUGAAUCACAGCCCGCUCCAAAGUGGACAACGGACACAGUUUAUUUUUUGAAAAUUUCACCGACUAUGAAGGGUGUGUCUUGCUGCUGGUUCACAUGCAUUCCCAGCUCCUAAAGGCUACAGUGGACAGAUGAAGGCUCAAGCCAUUAACCAUCUCAUCAGAAAUUUACAGGGCCGGGUCGCGGAGGCAGCAGUCUAAGCAGGGACUCCCAGACUUCCCUAUCCACGCACUCUUCCUCCAGCUCUUCUGGGGGAACCCCAAGGCGUUCCCAGGCCAGCCGAGAAACAUAGU